RNAcentral lists this ribosomal RNA (253 nucleotides) under uncultured bacterium. Its description in RNAcentral is "partial 16S ribosomal RNA". It matches the Rfam family "Bacterial small subunit ribosomal RNA", at positions 524 to 776 of the family's 1533-position model. The record is from RNAcentral.
AACGUAGGAGACGAGCGUUAUCCGGAAUUACUGGGCGUAAAGCGCGUGUAGGCGGUUGAGUCAGUUCGUCGUGAAAGCUUCCGGCUAAACUGGAAGAGGUCGAUGGAUACUGCUCGGCUGGAGUGCGGGAGAGGCAGGUGGAAUUCCGGGUGUAGUGGUGAAAUGCGUAGAGAUCCGGAGGAACACCAGUGGCGAAGGCGGCCUGCUGGUCCGCAACUGACGCUGAGACGCGAAAGCAUGGGGAGCGAACGGG